GUUUAAUUUGGAGAGUAAUCCAUCAGUGGAAGGUCUAAUUGUGGCGAUGUCACUUAUUGGUGCUACUCUGAUUACAACAUGCUCUGGAGGGGUAGCUGAUUGGCUUGGUCGCCGUCCGAUGCUAAUAUUGUCCUCAAUUCUCUACUUUGUUGGUUCUCUAGUAAUGCUAUGGUCUCCCAACGUUUAUGUGUUGCUCUUAGGAAGGUUGUUAGAUGGAUUUGGGGUUGGUCUUGUGGUCACACUUGUUCCUAUUUAUAUAUCCGAGACUGCACCUCCUGAGAUUAGGGGACUGUUGAAUACGCUACCGCAGUUCACUGGCUCUGGAGGGAUGUUCUUAUCGUACUGUAUGGUUUUCGGGAUGUCGUUGAUGCCAUCACCUAGCUGGAGAUUGAUGCUUGGUGUCCUUUUCAUCCCUUCCCUUGUCUUUUUCUUCCUCACAGUCUUCUUCUUGCCCGAGUCCCCAAGGUGGCUCGUGAGCAGAGGUCGAAUGCUUGAAGCAAAGCGGGUUCUUCAGAGACUGCGUGGUCGCGAAGAUGUGUCUGGUUAGUCUUUAAACAUUCUGACUCUAAUUAUUUCAAUGAAACCAUUUUUUUCUGUUGAACGUUCUUAUGUGGCAAUGAAUAGGUGAGAUGGCUCUGUUGGUUGAGGGUCUUGGAAUUGGAGGUGAAACAACCAUAGAGGAAUAUAUAAUUGGUCCUGCGGAUGAAGUUACUGAUGAUCAUGAUAUAGCUGUGGAUAAGGAUCAAAUUAAGUUGUAUGGUGCAGAAGAAGGGCUGAGUUGGGUUGCUAGGCCAGUCAAAGGAGGAAGCACUAUGAGCGUUUUGUCUCGCCAUGGAAGUACAAUGAGCAAGAGGCAAGGCUCAUUGAUUGAUCCUCUUGUCACACUGUUUGGGAGCGUUCACGAGAAGAUGCCAGACACUGGAAGCAUGAGGAGUGCCUUGUUCCCACAUUUUGGGAGUAUGUUCAGUGUGGGAGGGAAUCAACCGAGAAAUGAAGACUGGGAUGAAGAGAAUCUUGUUGGAGAAGGUGACGAUUAUCCAUCUGACCAUGGAGAUGAUUCUGAUGAUGAUCUUCAUUCUCCGUUGAUCUCACGACAAACGACAAGCAUGGAGAAAGACAUGCCUCACACUGCUCAUGGAACUCUUUCUAACUUCAGACAUGGAAGUCAAGUGCAGGGAGCUCAAGGGGAAGGAACGGGUAGUAUGGGGAUUGGAGGUGGAUGGCAAGUGGCAUGGAAAUGGACUGAAAGAGAAGAUGAAUCGGGACAGAAAGAAGGUGGAUUCAAGCGGAUAUACUUGCAUCAAGAAGGUUUCACGGGAUCUCGACGUGGCUCAAUUGUUUCAUUGCCUGGAGGUGAUGGAACCGGUGAGGCAGAGUUUGUACAAGCGUCUGCUUUGGUUAGCCAACCAGCUCUUUAUUCCAAAGACCUUCUCAAGGAACAUUCAAUUGGUCCUGCUAUGAUGCAUCCAUCCGAAACAGCUAAAGGGUCAAUUUGGCAUGAUCUUCAUGAUCCUGGAGUCAAACGUGCAUUAGUCGUAGGAGUCGGACUUCAAAUACUUCAGCAGGUAAUCUAGAUAGAGACAUCAAAAUUAGUGAAUCACAGAAGAAAUUUUGCUGUUUAUUCUAAUUCUAUGUUUUCCUGCUUCCUCUUGGAAAUGUAGUUCUCAGGCAUCAAUGGAGUUCUUUACUACACACCGCAAAUCCUUGAGCAGGCGGGUGUCGGGAUUCUACUAUCGAACAUGGGGAUUAGUUCUUCCUCAGCAUCCUUACUUAUAAGUGCAUUGACAACCUUUGUGAUGUUACCUGCAAUCGCUG
This 1815-nucleotide long non-coding RNA is filed under the name Arabidopsis lyrata. Its description in RNAcentral is "long non-coding RNA (ALYR_LNC000758)". The record is from RNAcentral. Lineage: Eukaryota; Viridiplantae; Streptophyta; Magnoliopsida; Brassicales; Brassicaceae.